RNAcentral lists this ribosomal RNA (420 nucleotides) under uncultured bacterium. Its description in RNAcentral is "bacterial SSU rRNA". It matches the Rfam family "Bacterial small subunit ribosomal RNA", at positions 28 to 458 of the family's 1533-position model. The record is from RNAcentral.
GACGAACGCUGGCGGCGUGCUUAACACAUGCAAGUCGAGGGCGGGGGGUAACCCCUGACCGGCGAACGGGUGCGUAACACGUGAGCGACCUACCUCCCUGUGGGGGAUAGCCGGCCCAACGGCCGGGUAAUACCGCAUACGCUCUCUCCCGGGCAUCCGGGGGGGAGGAAACUUUUCGGGCGGGGAGAGGGGCUCGCGGCCUAUCAGCUAGUUGGCGGGGUAACGGCCCACCAAGGCGGCGACGGGUAGCUGGUCUGAGAGGAUGGCCAGCCACAUUGGGACUGAGAGACGGCCCAGACUCCUACGGGAGGCAGCAGUGGGGAAUCUUGCGCAAUGGCCGGAAGGCUGACGCAGCGACGCCGCGUGGGGGAGGAAGGCCUCGGCUCGUAAACCCCUGUUGCCCGGGCGAACACUCCCCUC